Molecule: ribosomal RNA, 397 nt
Filed under: uncultured bacterium
Lineage: Bacteria
Description: partial 16S ribosomal RNA
Rfam family: Bacterial small subunit ribosomal RNA
Source: RNAcentral
CCUACGGGGGGCAGCAGUGAGGAAUAUUGGUCAAUGGGCGCGAGCCUGAACCAGCCAAGUAGCGUGAAGGAUGACUGCCCUACGGGUUGUAAACUUCUUUUAUAAAGGAAUAAAGUGAGGCACGUGUGCCUUUUUGUAUGUACUUUAUGAGUAAGGAUCGGCUAACUCCGUGCCAGCAGCCGCGGUAAUACGGAGGAUCCGAGCGUUAUCCGGAUUUAUUGGGUUUAAAGGGAGCGUAGAUGGGUUGUUAAGUCAGUUGUGAAAGUUGGGGGCUCAACCGUAAAAUUGCAAUUGAUACUGGCAGUCUGGAGUACGGUUGAGGUAGGCGGAAUUCGUGGUGUAGGGGUGAAAUGCUUAGAUAUCACGAAGAACUCCGAUUGCGAAGGCAGCUUACUAA